AAACUAGGAUUAGAUACCCUAUUAUCCUAGGAAAAAGUAUAUUGAUGACAGCUUUAGAAGUCAACAAAAUUGGCGGUUUUCUUUCCUUUUGGAGGAAUCUGUCCCAUGAUGGAUAUUACACCUUUUAAUUUACUAUAUAAUUAGGCUCUUAUACCGCUGUUGUUAAAUCAUAUUUGAAUAAAUGUUUGUAAUCUUUCAGGAGAGUACUUCAAGUCAAGGUAAGGCGGAUGAUAUAGAGAGGAUGGAUUACAAUAAAUAUUUUUAUAACGGAAAUGAGACAUUAGAGUUUGAUGGAAGGUGGAUUCAGUUGUAAAUUAGGAUAAUUUUUUGAUAAGGUUCAGGAAAAUGUACAUAU
Molecule: ribosomal RNA, 355 nt
Filed under: Austropurcellia clousei
Lineage: Eukaryota; Metazoa; Arthropoda; Arachnida; Opiliones; Pettalidae
Description: partial 12S ribosomal RNA
Source: RNAcentral